AGAUGCGAUCAUACCAGCACUAAAGCACCGGAUCCCAUCAGAACUCCGAAGUUAAGCGUGCUUGGGCAAGAGUAGUACUAGGAUGGGUGACCUCCUGGGAAGUCCUCGUGUUGCAUUCC
This 119-nucleotide ribosomal RNA is filed under the name Triticum aestivum (bread wheat). The record is from RNAcentral. RNAcentral also lists the same sequence under 2 other names. Lineage: Eukaryota; Viridiplantae; Streptophyta; Magnoliopsida; Poales; Poaceae.